Cinara cedri is the source of this 345-nucleotide non-coding RNA. The record is from the annotation of a GenBank genome assembly. Lineage: Eukaryota; Metazoa; Arthropoda; Insecta; Hemiptera; Aphididae.
AGGAUGUUGGGGAUGGUGUAUAUUAUUUUAGUCAAUUUAGACAUAAAAUUCAGACGAAACUGUAGUCGUUUUCGACGGAUUUCGAUUUUAAAAACGGAACCUUCGAUCUCUCUGUACAGUGGUUUACCCAGGAGUGUUCAAUGAAGAAAAGAGGAUAUGUUUGAAAAACUUGAAUAAAAACAAAAAUGUUGCAAAAUGUAUAACUAUAUAUUGUAACAAUGGUUUGUUAAUUAUUUUGUUGUGGUGGAAUAAGUAGUGCAAACUAGUUGAAUUAUCUGGUAUUUUCCUGGAUCACUUUUAUCUCUAUCACAAUAGUUGUUGUUCAGUAUUUUAUAUUUUUUAAAA